AAUGUGCUUCUGGGGUGAAUUGUAUUCGUCUCUUAAAAACUGAAAAGUAUUUUAUUACCGUUAAGAUGUCCUUCAUCCGUAACGCAAUCACUGACCGAAAUCGCUGUUGUUUAAAUAUGGUGCGUUAUGUUUAUAUGUCACUCACUACAAUGAACGUCAUGAACCCAAAAACAUCGAUAGAGUUCCGCCAACCAGCGUUUACAUGAAGCAGAAUAAAAUUAAGUUAAUGUAAAACUUGUUAAUCGCGUUAAACGCGGAAAAUAGGCUACGGGCAAAACCUUUAGAAUUAAUCGGGUGUCAACGCGCCAUUUUUCCACAGCUCAAAAUAUGAAGUAAAGAAGAAUCAGAAGACUGUUUGGAGAAUAAAUCUGGUUCCUCCUCAUGUUUCCAGGGAGGCAGCACUAGUUGUGGCACUGGUGAAGACGCAUGUCUAUAGUGCGGCCUGCAGGGUUGGCAAGAGGAUGCAGUGGGGCAUGCAGAUAUGGCAGCGUUAGAGACCCGUCUGUCUCCCUCCCUGGGGCAAGACAGGCAAUUUGUGGCAAAUUUUGCACAUAUGCUCGAUGACAGGCAGCCGGCGUCCUCUGCAGCUGCCAGCAUAGAGAGAUGGCCAGAAAUCCAAGUUAACACGGAUUAAAUUGUCAAAGGAAAGACAUCAGGAGGCAGACAUCUCUAUGAGUUAAUCUUCUCACCCACUAAUGAGUCUUCUACUGGAUUGCUUAAAUUAAAAGCAAAUCUGAAGAGUGAUUUGGCAUGCUUGCUGAGAGCCUGUCCCACUACAUAACGCAUGAAGUGAUUUGAUUUUGCUCUCAUUACUGUAAUAAUGCCCUGUUAGGACAAAACAAUGAAAUGACCAGGUUAUCCGGAUAUUAAACAGUUCCUGUUCGGAGCUCCGUCAACAGGGUGGCAAAGCCAGCUGAACAAAAGAAUGAAGACUUUGGGAGAGGGCUGUAAGAUUUAGGGCUUGAGUACUACUUGAGCUGUUUGAUAUAAUUUAUUAUUUACUGACUUGACGUUCCACUGCUGUAAAUGUCAGCUGAACUGUACAAUGUCUUUAACAAGCUCUGAAUGCUAUUUCUCUCAAAACAUGAUUGGAACAGCUUUUCUAGUAAAAGCUCCUCUCCUGUCGCUUUUUAAUAUUGAAUAAACACUAUAACACAGUGACAGGCUUAUGUUAAGGGCUCUUUACAAUGAGAAAGCAGAAAUAUGUUUUUGUUAUACUUCUGAUUAAAAUUGAGAUCAUAUGAUUGCUGCUUUAGCGCUGAUCUUUGCUCUGCCGGCUGGCUUCCUGAUGCAUG
RNAcentral lists this long non-coding RNA (1295 nucleotides) under Sinocyclocheilus anshuiensis. Its description in RNAcentral is "lncRNA (ENSSANG00000019471.1)". The record is from RNAcentral. Lineage: Eukaryota; Metazoa; Chordata; Actinopteri; Cypriniformes; Cyprinidae.